RNAcentral lists this long non-coding RNA (200 nucleotides) under Elaeis guineensis (African oil palm). RNAcentral describes it as "long non-coding RNA (EGUI_LNC032211)". Lineage: Eukaryota; Viridiplantae; Streptophyta; Magnoliopsida; Arecales; Arecaceae. The record is from RNAcentral.
GGCUCUAUGUUUUUCUUAGGAUACUAGCUCCCUUACAGAGAAUGCUUCUUUGAUGGUUGAACAAGAUCUUCUUCAAUCUUCAAGACAAUCUCAAGAAGGAAGAACAUAAAGCGUGGGAGGAAGAAGACUUGGAGAAAAGAGAACCUUGCUUUCUUUCUUUCUAGAAUUUUUCCAUGCCCCCAAAGAGAACCCACACCCAA